This 280-nucleotide long non-coding RNA is filed under the name Canis lupus dingo (dingo). RNAcentral's name for it is "lncRNA (ENSCAFG00020018507.1)". Lineage: Eukaryota; Metazoa; Chordata; Mammalia; Carnivora; Canidae. The record is from RNAcentral.
CCCGGAAGGAGAUUUCCGGAAGCGAAGGUCGCGCUCUGCACAACGCUCCCAACAAGACAUUAGUGUUCGUGGAUCUGUAAAGAAUCGACUCUCCUGCAGAUAUCUGAGGGUCUACCAUAUGAUUUCAGAUGGAAGCCAUAAUAUUUUGCUAUUCUUUGCCACCCGUUGCUGACACUGUGUACGAGUGACAACUCCGAAGAGACAUGGCAACGGAGCAACUAAGGAUGGAAUCACAAGUGAGUAGGGAGUUCUUCUUUCUACUGAAAUAGCAUGUCUGUCA